This 15177-nucleotide long non-coding RNA is filed under the name Cinara cedri. The record is from RNAcentral. Lineage: Eukaryota; Metazoa; Arthropoda; Insecta; Hemiptera; Aphididae.
CAUAAUAAUAACAAUGUUAUAUUCGGUUACUGGUUAGUGUUUUCCGAUAUUCGCUGGGCGACCGACGCGAGUUUCCAUCGAUCCGUACAGUGCAGCACCGCAACGCGAUAUUGCAGAAUUCACGCCGACCGUAACUGCAGGGUUCGUCCGUAGCGCGUGUAUUAAUCGAAAAUGACCAACAAAUACGUGAGCGUAAGGAUUUUUUUUUUUGUUUAUAAUAUUAUUGUUCAUUACUAUGAGCUAUGUUUUAAAUCCACGAUCAAUUAAUAUACUAUUUAAUAGAAAAAUCUUCGUCAGACUCUUGUUAUAACCGUUCUUCAUAAAAAUAUUCGAUAGAUUACCGUUAUAAACUAUAGAUUUGUAUUGAAAAUGUCCCUUAACAAUAUUUUAUAAGACGACCUCCCGGCCCCUCAUGCUGAUAAUUCUUUUAAAUUUGCGCAAUUCAAAAAGUUGUCCAAGUGAACGGAAAAAUUCGGUACCUAGUCUGAAUUAUUUUUUCAAAAAAAAAAAAAUGUGUAAUUUUAAACACAUACAUGAGUACGUCAAAUAUGUAUUUGUACAAACAUUUAACUGUGCGAACUGGAUUUUACAUAUAAUGUCUAGUUUAGGUUAGGUUGGUUGAUUAGGGCUUACUUUAACGUGAGUUUGGAUCCGUUUUUAGAUAGCUCUAAAUGAAAAUUACGGAGUUGUAGUUGUAAUAUGUACAUUUGAAUCAUAAACAGUUUAAUAUCCUAUAUAAUAGUUUCUGAUUAAUAUACAUGGUAAAUAUGAAAUGUAUACGAAACAGUGAUAAUAUAAUAUGUAUAAAAUAUAGAGUAAAGAGUUUAAUAACAAAAACAGGAAACUUUCGAAAUAGAACAUGGUUGGCCUUUUUUUCAAGAAUAACCGACGAUGCACAAUAGGUAUACACAAUUUGUGUACACCACCCUUGAUACGUCAAUUAGGCGCGGUUCUAGAAAAAUCGUUAAAAUAAAAACUGUUUCAUGCUUGGUAUUCGUCAAAUACGCUGAAAACCGGCGAUUGGACGACAUUAAAAUCAUUUUGUUUGGAACAACGUUUUUAUUUUGCAAACUUUUCGAAUUAUAUAUUCGGAUCGUUACUAUUAUUGCGACUUUCCACAAAUGUCGAUGUUUUAUUCGUAUACUCGUAUUUUUGGAAUACUCCGACAGUUGAAUUUCAUGGCUCUCGUAAUUGAAUUCAACCACGACUGCUGCUUUACUUACCACGAGUUCCCGUCAUCGGGAAAAUACAAUUUAAAACUUUCACCGAUUGCAGCGCGAAUAACUUUUGCAAACAAUAUUAUACUUUAGGGAGUAAUUAUUUGUUUAAUCUAAUAGGGAAACUAAAGUUGUUCAACUAUAGGUUUAAUGCGUAUAAUAUAUAGUGUAUACGUAAAUCGGAGUAGGUACGAUAUAUAUACGAUAUAUAGGUAACAUAUUAUUGGGUACUGGAAAAAUGAAACAAUUUUUUUUAUUUAUUUUUUCUUUUAUAUCCCGUUGUACGAUACGUACAUAAUUUUAUAUGUAUUUAUGUAUUUAAGUACUUAAAUGGCAUACCUAUUUGUAUGGAUAUAUUUUUAUCGUUACUAAUAAUUAAUUAGUAUGAUGGUUUUUUCGUUUUAAGAAGUUCAUUAAAAUUUAAAAUUGAAUAGCAUAAUUAUUUUAAAACAAAUCAAGAAAAAUGCCUUCACUGUUUAAUUAAUGAUUAUACCCCGUAGACCUGUAAAUAAAUUGACUGAUGGCUCGGGCACAGAGAAAAAAGAGAGAGAGAGAGAGAGAGAGAGAGAGGAGAGAGAGAGAGAAAUAGAGUGAAGUCUGGGGGAGCAACAUUUUUAGAAAAUGAUAACAUACAAGUACAACUCUGCAUUUCUCCUUUAAAUUAUGAAGGUAAGAGAGAAAGAGAAGUUUAACAGCAAAUAUAACUACAUUGUCAGAUAAAGAUGACAUACAGUUUGGUAAAAUUCUCGGGGAUUGAUUAUUGACUAAGUAUCAUUACAAGUAUCACUAAAAAUGGUUGUACAGAGCAAAGAACUAGAGACACACAAUCCAUAUACAUUAUGCAUGGUGUAUCUGCAAGGUUCGACGGUAUCCUAUGCAAUAUCACAUAAAUAUACGUAACGUUCUGAACUGUAUCAUUUGUAAAACAAAAAAAAAAAAUUGCAGUAAACAAUAAAAUAUCCACAGGACGGUCGACUGUAAUAUACGAACAAGUAGAAGACAAGUACGCGAUACUACGCAAUUUACUUUUUUCUGCCGUAAAAUCCGUCCAUGCGCUUUUUCGUUGUACGGACGUUUUUCAAAAGAAUAUGGUGGAAAAUUUUUACAAAAUUAUAUUAUAAUAUUGCUGUGCAUAAUAAAAAGUUUUUGAAUUCUUUGACAUUUUUCAUUCUCGCAAUGUUAUUACUAUUGUGCAACUGUGCAAGUAUAUCGCAUAAAACAGUAAAUAUAUAAUAUAUUCAGUGUAAUAAUAACAUGACAGAGAUUUCUGUAUUUUUUUUUUUAUACGAAAUUGAAAUGUAUAUUUUUUUUUCUAUUUUUAUCAUACAAUUUAACUCUCAAUAUCUCUCUGAAUAUCAACGCUGAAUUAUUAUUUUUAUGGGAUACAGUAGUGAAUCCAAAAGUCACCUAAAAGCGGGAAGGUGAAUUCGUGUACACUCGGGACCAUGCACACACACGCACAAGCACAUGGACAUGAUCGGCGGAUAAUAUAAAACGGCGUAAAAUUUAGAAGGGUUUUGUACAACAUAUCGAGGAUUAUAUUCGUUUAAUAUAUUGAAUAAGGUAUUCUAGGUGUUCGUAUAUCCAAAACCAUACUUCAAAUGGUUAUAACUCCUCUAGUAAUGAUUUUCAAAAAAAAAUUACAAAUAUUUUCAUAGUCAGUAUCAAAAACCAGCAUCAAAAAUUUUGAAAUUCACAAGGAAGUACUAAAUAGGAUUUGCUCCUUGAUUUUUUUAAUUUUAUUUUUUUAAUGUCUAUGGACAUCUUUUUUUACGUUUCAUAUUAAUUGUAAGGGGGACGAUCUCGGUGCACAAAUAAUUAGACAAAGAGCUACGAUUAUGGCAUGUUAUAUUUGUAGAAGCCGAUAAACGAAUUACUAUAGAUGACAAAACCUAUUUAAGUUUGUGAUAAGCAGACAAAAAAAAAAAUAACGAUAACAAUAACGUAUGUGGCGCUUAUUUCAAUGUUAUGUAUGGACCACAGUUAUCUACUCUAAGUAGAUAACCGUGAUUUAACCGUUUUAUUACACUAUGUAUAAGGACGAUGAUUUUUUAAUAUUAUAUAAAUAAAAAUAUUGGUCCAAUAUAAAUAUAAAUGGCAAUAAAACAUCGAUACUUUUGAAACAAAACAUUCGAUAGUAAGCUAAAAUAAUCGAUGUUUAAUAUCGAAGGUUUAGUUUGAAUAUUUUUAAACGAUGUUAAAGCUUUACCAAUGUUUUAAUUUCAUUGUAAUUUUUAUGUUACUUGUCUUCAAUGAUCACGAGAACAAUUCUUACAUACAAUCGGACGAAUUAUGAUUUCUGUAGGCUGAAUGGCUAUAGUUUAUAUUUGGGGUUUGAUUGUUGUGUAAUAGACACUGAACGUCUCUUUAAUGUACUCAUGGCAAAGGGCUAUUCAAUUAUUGCCUAUGUAUUUCAAAUUGACGAUGUUUUCUAAAAUCAUCGAUGUUUUCCCAAAUAUAUUGAUAUUUUUGACAUCAAAUGUUUAUUUAAACUUCCAACAUUCUCGAUAUCGGUGGUUUAAAAGAGACACAUCGAUGAUUACAAAAAUUGUCCAUCUCUAAAUAUAAUAAUACAAGAAUUACGGAAAAAAACAAGACCUAAAAAGAGGGAGGGUUCAUAUUCAUCAUAACCUAUAAUGACGAUCAGUGACAUGACAUGACUGCUUGUUCAUUAAUCUCAUAUAUUUAAAUUUACCUGACUCCUGCGUAUUACACACAAUAUGUACUACACAUCUUUUUUUCUUGUUAAAUAGAAAUCUCAACUUUGAAUAAAAUAACUCAUAGUAUUCGGACCAAUAAACAUCAUUUCGAUGACAGGUAUUAAAUUUUAUUCUAAAUCCAAAAUCGAAAAAAUUAUAUGAUGGCAUUUCAAAUCAAAAUAUAAACUAGAUAAUCCGUACACUUGUUUCAACUAGUAAAAAGUAAAAAUCCAUUUUUAAAUUCCAAAUGCAGCAAAAUAUUUAGGCAUUAGUUUUAUUAUAUGAUUUUUUUUUCUCCAUAUACUACUUUUUUUUUACCAGGAAUCUGAUUUUGAAAUGUUAGGAUUUUUGUUUUGAUAGAAAUUGUUUUCUAGUUAAUAUAUCGAGGACGACAUUUCUUCUUGUUUUAACAGUUAAGAAAAACCAAUAUAUGAAAAAUUAUGGCGUUAACGAUUAUUUUCGAUGUACUGUUUUUGUUGUAAUUCGGUUAAAAAUAAUUGUAAAAAUCUAAAAUUUAAAAAAAAAAAAUGUAUAUUGGCGUUUUUAGAAUUUGUAAAAUUUCAAAAACCUCCUCGUGAAUUUUGAUCUAUUUAUAGGCAUUUUAAAUUAUUGAGUUUUUAUUAGUUUUAUGUGGAUAAAACUAUUUGGCCGAUCAGUAUAAUGAAAAAUAAUUCAACCUUGUACUUGUGGUAAAAAAAAAAAAACAUUGAAUAUUUUAUUGUAGUCUUUAUUUUUGAGUUUUGUCAAUGUGUUGACUGUUAGUUUAAUAAAUUGACUAAAAAAAAUUUCGAAAAAAGUUAAUACUUUCCAAGAUAAUAAGUAUCUUAGAGGAGAUACUAGAAGGAUCUUAGGGUGUUUUUUUUCAGUUAUUAUAUUAUACGAUAGUAUAAAUAUACUCUACGAUGUUUUUAGAAGAAUUCUCUCCUUAAAAAUCAAUACUUUUUCACUAUUUGCGUGCUUUCAGUGUUUAUAAACAACUCAUAAAAUAAACAGUUCAAGAUUUAAUUAAUCCUGCAUAUAGCUAAUAUGACUUUCUAACCCGAUCGCGUGUUUAUCUGGUAAGUUUAUAGGUACGACUUUUUGUAAUCUCGAAUCUCAAUAGCCUUAGUUCUAUACUUACUUAAUCUAUUAGAUAAGUUUCCACAUGAACACAUGUCCCAUGGUGUUAACGAAGUAAAUAACCGUGAAACGAAGACCGUAACAAAUGUCAAGUGUUUUCUGGAUACACAAAAAUAUACAUAGUCAAUUGUUUAAAACAUACAAAAUGUAAUAAAAUACGUUAAAAAAAAAAUAAAAAUAGUAUUUAAUAAUAUAAUUGGGUGAACUUAACCGUUUCGAAUAUUUGUACAUUUUAUGUGACAUUUCUAUCAAACCAAAUUAUUAUUACUAAUUGUCCCUUCGAGGAACAAUUUUUUUCGGUGUUGACAUAUAUAAAAACAAAUCAAAAUUUAAUUUAAUGUUCUGUAUAUGUAGUAUUCGCAAUUCGCUUACAUUUUAAAUUAUACACUCGGUGCUUCGAUUUUUUAUUUUUUUAUUACUGUUCUAUUUGUCAGGUGCAUAAUUAUAAUGAAAAAUAAUCGUCGACGCAUUUAUGGUGCAGGCAAAUAUUCUACUACAAAGGAAAAACUUCAAAUAAAUACGUUACAUUAAUUAUGUACAUUUUUUUUCAUUUUUGAAGUUUGUACACUUUUUUACAGGUAAAGCGUUUAGUUUUAUAAUGUUAUUUUUCUGGAAUAACGGUGUUCCCGCGAACGAAUAAUAUAUAAAUUCGAAAAGUUUUACAUAGCACUUUUAUGGAGUACGACUUCAUAGAAAUAGAAGUUUUAUUUUUCGUUUCUAUAAAUAUAUCGUAUAAUAUAAAAAAAAUUUCCGGUGUUUUGCAGUACAGUGAUAAUAUAAAAACUGCAAAAACCUAAAAAAAAAAAAAAAUGCACACAUUAAACAAAUAUAUUAUAUAUUUAUAUAGUAAGAACAUGGGCAGUAUAUAUAGUAUAGUUUUUUAAAUUAUAAUCAAGUGAAAACAUAUUUUUUUGUAUUUAUGUUUGUAUCAUUGUGAUAGUAAUUAUAAUUACAAAUAAAAAAAAAAAAAAAAAACAUUUCACCGCCGUUUAGUGGACAAUAUAAUAAUAGUUGAUGAGCGAAGCCAAAAUAAUGAAGUCCAAUAUAUUAUUGUUAAAUAAUAUUAAACUAGGUUUCACUUUCAAAUUUGUUUCAUUUUCGUACAAUUUUUCGAUGAAAAACCAUUCAAUUUUAUGUCGUUUAUAUAAACGUGCAAAUAAUACAUUUUGAUCAAUUUUCCAUCGUUUGCGUCCGUGAAACAAACGUGUUAUAUCUCACGUGCAGUAAAUUUCGUCGUUUAUAUAUAGGUUAUGGUUUCAACGGUAUGUCGAAUAUAAAGAUGUCGUUCUGAAAUUAAAAUUAUUUUUUUUUUUUUUACAUUCGCCUAUUAUAACAUUAUUGUGCAUAAAUAUUAUAUAUUUACAAACAACAAAUUGGAUUUCAUCAAGUUUCGCGAUAAUUCACUAAUCUACUUUGUCUGUAACAGAUAAAAUGUCGUAUGCAAUAUGCAUAGUAUGUGUUGUCGUGUUGUGUAGGUACCACGAUCAGAUGCGUACUUUUGUUUCGGUAAAUAGCGAUAUCAAUACGCCAGCCGUAUUGAUGGCAUUAAAAAUUGUUUGCGAAUUCGGAUUAAAUAAACGUAUUUUUCCAUUCAAUAUAAACAAAGUACUACAACAGAUUAUUUUUCAAAGCAACAAUAAACAUUAUUAAUUUAAUACAAAAUACAUUAUGUUGUUAUAAUAUGUUUGCACUAUGCAGUCAAUACUACUGUUGAAUUAUAAAACAUUUGUUUAAUAAAUUAAUCGAAAAAGUUAAGUUUUUUGUGACCCGGAUGUAAUGAAGUUCGGAUGUAACGAUCUUAAACUCUAAGUCUCUCGAAAAUCGUUGUAAGCGAAUUCCAAUAUACAUACCAGGUGAUUCAUUUAAGUGGGUGGACUCAUUAUCUCUGUAAGUAAUAACUUUUUACGGAAUUUGUUUUCGAGAACAUUUAUGAAACAAGCCGCUCUACAAUUUUAUAUUUAUAUUUUUUUUUCGCCCUUAUUUCGGAGUGGGCAAAAUCACCUUUUAAGAGAAACAAAUUCAUAAAUAAUAAUCAUAAAUAAAUAAUAACCAUAAACCCGGUAACCUACUACAUUUUUUUUUGUAUAGCAACACCUGUUUUAACAUCAAAUUCGUAUAGUCCCGCUUUUUUUUUUCAAGCAAUUUUGAUCUUUACAAUUUUUUUAUUUAAUCCCAGAAAUUAUGUGACUUACAACCAUCAAAAUUUGAUCAAAAAAUAUAAUUUCUUGUCGAUAUUUUUGAAAAUGUUAACGUAUAGUGUUACAAUAUAUGUUACUUUUUUUUUCUCAUAAAACACUAGUAAAAUUUUUUUGCUUUAAAAGUAAUGUGUUUUAAAUGUUUGAAAAAUAAUCGUAUUUUUUAACAAACUUUAGAUGACUGUAUCUCAGAUAAUUUUUAAAACACAAAAAAACUAUGAAGAUCAAAAGUACAUAAAAAAAAUAGAACUUUAUGAAUUUGGUGUUAAAAAUACACUAUUAAAUUUGUAUCGCACAUUUGUACAUGUCCGUACCAAAAGGGCUAAAAAUUUGAAAAUUAUCUUAAAAUGUUUGUUUCAGUACCCCUGUUACCUAUCUUCCGAAAAUAAGAUUCAAUAUUUAGUGUUAUUACAGAAAACGUGAACACACUGGAUGCAAUCGGGUAUUGCAGAGAUACUACAGCGGGCCCAUCUUAAAUUAUAAUAAAAAACUAUGUUUUUUUAUGGCGUAACGCGACACGCAUAGAGCAUAAAAUAUUCGUUGGUUUUUUUUCUCUAGUAAACGAACAUAAUAUAACUUCCUACCUACUGCGUAAAAAGGAAAAAUAAUAAAUAAAUGAUAGUAGUGCGAAUUUCGAAAAAUAAAAAAAAAAAAAACAAACUGAUAAAUAGAUACAAGUAAUAGAAAUUAUUGAUUCGCGAUGUGUCGUUAAAAUAUUAUGUACACAAGGAACAUCAUAUCGUGCAGCCGUUGUGAAACGGAUUACAUUUUAUUUCGGUAUACGCGUAAUAUUUAUGUUCGUUAUAUUUAUUAUGUACGUAUGUAUAAUAAAUAAUAUCAAAUGCGAAAGAAAAAAUACGAGGUUAUCUAACGCGUUAAACUGCGGAUUUCGCCCAUUUCGAAUUGAUUUCCCAUGCGUGUAUACGGCUAAAUAUUAUUCGUUUUAUUGCAGUUGUAAAGUGGCUAUGAUAAUGAUACCAUAAUAUUAUUAUGGAUUGAACGACAUUAACUACCGCCGGUUUUCUAUUGAUACACAUUACACAUAUUAUAAUAAUGUAUAGAUGUUUGAAAACAAAAAACAUUUCACAAUUCGCAACGUUUAUGUGCAGGCAACGGAAUUAAUUGUGACUACAUACAUUUUUUUUUUUGUACCUAUUAUAUUUGUUAGAUAUCGAAAUGUGUUUGAGUAAAUUUUACAUAUUCUUAAAUGUUUAGGAAAUUAUCGAUUUUUCACCGUAGCGUGUUUUUUAAUUUAUACGAAUGCGGUGUUACUGAUGUACGUUUCAGAUUCCGAGCGUGGCGACCGGAGCUAUUGGUUUUACCGUAGAUGUUUAUUUCUUUUCUUUUUUUUCUAGUCUGCGGACACGUUUUUUCCUAGUAAACAUGCUCCGAUUUUUACGUGCGAAAACUUUUCCGAAAGGUCAAGUUGUCUAGAUUGUACAUUGGGAUAUCAUUUUUUUAAAUAAAAGCACUCAAAUGGAAAAAAAAAAAAAACGUACAAUUUCGGGUCAUUUUUUGAUUUUUGAAUAAUUCGAUCAUUCGACAUAUUUAUAUAUUCUAUAUUAUACACUUAUUGGUAUUCGGUGAUGUUAUGUGUUAUAGACCACGGCGGUACACACAAUAAUCUACGUGACUGACGCGCGUGUACGACGAUUCGGAAUGCAAAACGUCCGCGUGAAUGACAACAAUGAUCGUAACAAAAAUAUAUAUUUAAUGUUUCGUAAUCCAAAUGGAAGUAAAAUAUAUAAAUAAUAUUAUUCCGGGCAUUGUGGCCGGUUAAGUAGGUAAUGUUACAGAGGAAUAGUGCCGAAUAUGUAACAAUAAUAAUCCGCGGUUGUCCGUCGUACGAACAAUACAGAUAAUAUUCGAAAUUCAGUAUAAUCGUCGUCGUCAAUGUAAAAAACGCCUAAUAAUAGUCUCGCCGUUAUAAUAAUCUUGUUAAUUGUGAAAAUAGAAACUCCGCUAGAUACCCAUAUGCCUUUUUUUUUUUUUUUUAUAUUCAGAACGUAUAGCGAGGGAUCUAUCGGUUUUAGGGCGCGUGCCUUUUUUUCUGUCCGACAGCAAACAACUUUUCGAAAAGUAAUCUAACCCCGAUGUAUAAACUGUUCUACUUUUUAUGAAAGGAAAUUUUAUUCAGUUGGUGCAUUGGAGAGGUCUUUUUUUGAUUUUCUGAGUGGUUUUCGAAAAGAUUGGGGAAAAUAUUUACGGCACGUUCCGGCGUUAUUAAUUUCAUUGUUUUUAAUAUUUCUGACUUAAGUUUUCCAUCGAAAUUAUUUCUCCUAUCGAAAAAUAACAUGCGAUCGAUUUUGUUCCUUUUAACAUGUAACCUUUGUCGAAAAAAUUCGUUUUUUGAUAUCUAAAGUAUUUUUUUAAAUAAUUGAGAAAAUCCAAAUUUCAACGAUUGCAUUAUUUUAUUUUAAAUUUAUACGGUUUAUGUUUUUUACUAAAAAUAAUAUUGCUCCAAUAGAAAAAUGACCUUUUUUUCUUGCGUUUUUAAUUUAAUUAGUGAGAAAAAAGUCUGUUUUCUAUCUUCUUUGUAGUUUUUUAAUAAGUACGUAGAAAGUAAUGGCCAAUUUACAAAAAUAAUUCUAUUAUUAUUUUAAGUUUUGUUUUUUUAAAUAUAAUACAGUUAAAAAAAUUCUUUACAGACAUUUUUACAGAAAACUUAUACUUAUUUUUCUAAGCAUAAUAAAAUUUCAACUAUUGCCCUAUAUUAGUGGCCACGCUCGUCCAAAUAUCAGCAAUUUUAGAUUCGGAGCGUAACGAAGAAGCUAUUGAUUUUACUUAGAUGUUUAUUUUUUCUUUUUUUUUUCUUUAUUCUAAUCUAUGGACACGUUUUUUCUUAGUAAACUUACUCCGAUUUUUACGUGUAGUACUUUUUCUAUAACCUCAAAUUAUUUUGAUUGUACUUUAUAAAGGUCAUUUUUUUGGUUUUCGAUGCCAUUUUUUAAAUAAAAGCACAUAAGGGGAAGAAAACGUAGGAAAACAUACCAUUUUCACGAUUUCAUUAUUUUAUAAAAACACGGAAGAUGUUUUAUACCAGAAAAAAUUAUUUGAUUGAAAAAUCACAAGAUACCUUUUUUAUUGAAUUUUUGAUUUAAUUUCUUACGCCAUCACUUUCAUCGCCAAAACUUUUGAGCCACUUUUGAGCUUUUACGGAAUUUUAAUUUUCGUGUUUUUUCUUUGCUGUAAUUCAGUUAUAAAUACACGUAGAGACUUAAAACUUAGUAAUAAUACUUAUAUUUGACUUACCUAGAUGUGGUAAAAUUUCCAAAAUCAUCAGACGACUUUUUAUAAUUUUUUUACAGUGGUACUAUAUUUUUUUUUUUUAUACACUGUAGACCACGUUUAUUCUAGAAAACUUGCUCCGAUGUAUAAGUGUAGCACAUUUUUUGAAAUUCAAUUUUAUCUACUUGGUAAAUACAUAGAUCAUUUUACGAUUUUUCGAACGUUCUUUAAAAUAAAAUUGAUUAACCGAGAAAAAAAAUACGAUUUUUUCAGAGUUAGAAGAACACAACAUUGUCAUCCGCCAAUGUGCUUGGACUAAUCCGGGAUUAUUAUUAAUUUGAAAUUCUAGCAAUAUAUCGACAAAUCAUUGUCGAUUAACUAUAUAAUUCACUAAGCAUUUUGGUCUGAUAAAAGAUUAUGCGUAUAAUUAUUUUCGUAAAUAAUUGUGUCAUUAGCUGUAUCUAUACUUGCUCCGACAAUAUCGUUUAUUAAUUAUUAUAAUGUAUACAUUUCUAAACGUGCUUGUCCUUAACUAGUUUGUCAGUUGUAUACACAUAUCCAUUCUACACCGACUGUUUAUUGUCCUUUUGACACCAUAGAAAUCGGAGUGACGUGGUAGUAAAAGUCUGUCAGCUUCAAUUCUUUCGUUCAGUUGUACCUGUUUAAUUAAUUAAUAAAUUGUUGAUGAAGAAGUGAACUCCUCUCUGUUUGUGCGCUGGUAUAUAUUAUAUACUUUCGACUGGUACACCGGCUGUCUUUCAUUGGUUUUAUCAACCCACCUAAAAAAAAAAAAUCAGCAAAUCCUAAAUGAAUUUUAAAUUAAUCAAUAUAUUGCUGGAUAAUCCCCAUCACAAGGGUGAAGAUACUAUCCGGACACAGCAUUGUGGAUUACAGAGAUUGUUGAAGAUUUUGAAAGUUGUGACACCAAUGGUUAUUUACAUGGAACCGCUCGCAAUAUCCAAUUUCAAACUACUUAGUGAAUUAUUUAGUUUAUAGGCAAUGUUCUGUCUCGAUAUUGCUCGAAUUUCAAAUUAAUAUAUUACUGGUUUAGUCCACAAGGACGGACGGACGACUAUGUUGUGUUCUUCUAACUCUGAAAAAUGACCUUCUCAGGGUAAUCAAACGAUUAAAAAUAUAUCAUCGGCGUAUUUACCGUAGACAUAAAUACCCAUUAGCGUCUUUACCAUCGGCAAGGCUUGGACAUGAAAGCAUACUAUUUACGCACUAACCUAAUUGUAAAGGUUACAUUAUUUUGAUUUUUUUCUUUUGUUUUAUAUUAUUUCAAUAAGGAUAAACGCAUAAUUUUAGAUUUAAAUUUUAAGCUAAGCGAGGAAUGUAUUGGUUUUACAAUGAUGUUUUUUUUUUUUUUAUACUGUAUACACAAAUUCUACCGGAACUCUUGCUCCGAUGUAUCAUGCUCAUGCGUCUUUUCUAUAAGGGAAUUUUAUCUAGUUGGUACUUUAAGGCAGUCAUUUUUUAAUUGUCUAAACAGUUUUCAUAAUAGGUAAUUGGGAGAAGUCCUGAAAAACCGGAAAAGAGAAAAAUGUAUGAAAAUAAUGCUUUUAUUAUUUUCAAUUUUGUUUUUUUGUUGUAAUUCAGUGAAAAAUAUCUGUAGAAACUUGAAAUUUUGAUAGAAACUUUAUAUUUGCCUUUUAUAGACGUGAUCAAAUUUUCAAAAUAUUUGAGCCUUUUUAAGCUAUUAGAAAUUUUAAUUUUGGGAGGUUUUUUAUACGUGAUAUUUAUUCGGUAGGUAUUCUGUGGAUAAAAUAGUUGUUAAACCAAACAGAAAUGCUUGACAAUUUAACAGGAGGUUCUUUAUAAGUUUUACUGAGUGUUCAAUAAGAAAAUAAAUUUUAAUAUCAAAUUAUAAUUAUUAUAAUCUUAUAAAAUAUUACGGCCUUUUAAACAUGUAUAACUGAACUCCGCUCAGAAUCAUUUAUCAUUAUAUACAAAUAUACGUUAAGUUCCCCUCUAUAUCCUACUUUCAAAGUUUUUUUUUUUUGUUUAUUGAAAUAAUAUCCAUUCCCUAAUAAUAUUAUCUGCCGUAUAAUGUAUAUACAUAAAUAAGCGUAUGAUUAUGGAUGUUUAAAUUGGAGAGGUGGCGCAUUAUUAAAUGGUCACCUAAUUUCCCUUGCAAAUUGUUCCGAAUGCAGUUGCAGUUGCAGUUAGCGGUUGCUGCAAAUUGUGUUGUGGCACCGCUCUGAUAAACUUCACAUAUAAAUAACAAAUAUUUUAUAAUCGCAUGCUAUUAUGUGCAUAUCUGUUGACUGUAAUAUAUUAUUGUUUGUUUCAGAUUCUCGGUAUAAUUUCACUGCUGGUGAUUAUAAUCAUUUCCUCGACCACUGCGACGCACACGACACAGUAAGAAAUGUUUUUUUUUUUUUAUUAUUAUUCAUAAUUAUUAUCAAAUACGGGUAGUAUUAAUAAGCUAUACAAUCUUCUAGUGGAACUAUAUUUUGAAGUAACCAUUUCGCAUAAUAUGGUGUCUAGAACUAUUUGAUUUUACACAUGAUUUUAAAAAAAAAUUUGUUUUUACUUAAAUGAAAUGUGUAAUUAACUAUACAAUGGCCCCGAUUCAGUGGCGUGCGUCAGGUCGAUGCUAGGGGUUAUAUUUCACGGUCAUUGGAUUAAAAAUAUAACAACUAUAAGUUUUCUAAGUAGUUUUAACUUCAAAUUUUAUAUUUUGAACAAGUUACAAGGAAAACUCUUGUUUUAUUGAACACAAAUUUUCUUUUCAGGAAUCGAUUUUUAAAUUCUCAUUGUUGGGUUAGGUAUGACACAAGAAUAUUCUACGAUGUAUUUAUAUAUCAUGAUUAUUAUUUACUCCAUUUUCUCCAAUUGCAAGUUCCUAUGUACGUCGUUGCUGCUAUAUAUAUAUAUACAAUUCUAAUUUGGUCAUUUAAAUGUAGAAAAGAUUUUUAAAUUGUAUACAAUUUGAUAAAAUCUACUUCAAUCCACUUAACACACUUAUUCUUAAUCUCAAUAUUACUGAGACAUAAAAUUUGCACAUCACAUAAUCUCAAUAUUAAUAAAUCGAUCUGUAAGUCAAAAAAAUACAUAAAUUAUAAAUAUAUUUUAAUGUUUGUAUACAGCGCAAGUAUGGAAAUAUAACAAGUACAAUAAUUACUUUUGUUGUAUUCGUAUAUAUUUUGAAGUUUUUUUUUUAUUUUAUUAUGAUUUUGCACAUUAUUUUUUCUCGAAUAACUCUAACAAAAAAUAUUAUACAAUUUUACUAUAAUUAAAAAAAGAAUAUAAAUUCAAAAUAGAGGUUUUAUAAAUUCAGAAGAGUUUUGGUGGUUAAAAAUUAAAUAACAAUUUUUUUUUUUUUUUUUGAUAAUAUUCGUUUACUAUUCAAUUAUAAUAAUAAUUCAAUGUAAAAUGUGAAUCUAUUUUGCCAGUUUAUCAACAGUAGUAACUUAUAAUGGCAGAUAUCAAUUUAUUUUAUUUUAAGAUACAAUUUUGAAAUGUUCCAUAUUAGUACCAUAUUUAAUAGUACCUCUGAUUACAAUAAACUGUAUCUUGGAAAUCGGAAUAAAAUUUAAUUGAUUUUGUUUGAAAAAAGAAAAUCUGACAAUCUUCUUCUUUUUAGUUAUUCGGCCGCUAGAACCACCUCAUCAUAGGCUUGUACAGGAUUGUUUCGUAGGGUGUGCCAUGAAAAAAACCAGUUGUUAUUCUUUUAGUGGCCCUUACAUCUUUCCUUUAAACAAAUAAAAUAGUAAAUACAAAAUGUCAGUUCAUUAAACUUUAUAUUGUUCACAUACAUAUUAUACUACCUAUGUAUCGAAGAAUAUUCCACGAAAACAUUAUUACAUAUCAAACAUAUAGAUUAUCGUGAAAAAAUGACCCCCAUAAAUUUAAUAAUAAACAAUUAUAUGGUUAAAAAUUUUAAAAAAAAACUUAAUAUCACCACAAUUAUUACAAUAAGCUCUGAAUCAAAGGCAGUGAUAAGUAAUAUCAGUUAGUGGAUGCCUGUUGAUUUAAUUUAUUGAUUACUCGAUAACAAUUUUUCAUAUCAAAUGGAUUAGAGUUUAAUUAAAUAAAGCCCAGAAUGAAUCAAUUUCAUUUUCAACUCAAAAGCCACGGGCGUGGCACAGCCACGGCACUCCUGACAUACCUGUGUGCACGGCUAUGUAACUUUGUCUCCAAUUUUCCAAAUUCGUAACCUGUGCCUUCCAAUCUAAACCUCCUCCUAAUGCUUCCAAAUCUUUUUUUCACUACAUUCUCCUAUCGCAUACGUGGUCUUCUAAGUGAUUUUUUUCCAGUAAGAUUUUCUUCAAGCACCAUGCGUAUGUGUAAGUUUUUAUUUCACCACACUUGCCCACUACAUGUGGUCUUUUACUCCUUAUUGUAACAAUUAAAUGAUCAUACAUAAUUAUUUCUAUCUGUUCGUUGUAGUUUCUGCUGAUACUUGUAAAAUAAUGCAAUUAUUACAUUUUUGUUUACAGUGAAAAACAUAUCAUUCACGUUCCACUAUUGGUGCAUUACGUCCAUCAUCACCACAAGCCGAUUAUAAAACCGAAGAGACCUAAAGUGAAAAAAGUUCUGCAUACCAAAAAGUAUAUACAUCGCUAUCAUACUUACUACUAUUGAACACAUUCAUUCAGUCACAUAAAAAACAUAAUAAUAUUGUAUAUUCAAUCCGAUUUAUAUUUUGUACAUAAUAUCAUAAAGUGUUAAUUGUAUUAGUUUUGUAAAACGUAAAAAUAUAUUGACCGUUAU